Molecule: ribosomal RNA, 1207 nt
Filed under: Priestia megaterium
Lineage: Bacteria; Bacillati; Bacillota; Bacilli; Caryophanales; Bacillaceae
Description: bacterial SSU rRNA
Rfam family: Bacterial small subunit ribosomal RNA
Source: RNAcentral
AAGCUUGCUUCUAUGACGUUAGCGGCGGACGGGUGAGUAACACGUGGGCAACCUGCCUGUAAGACUGGGAUAACUUCGGGAAACCGAAGCUAAUACCGGAUAGGAUUUUCUCCUUCAUGGGAGAUUAUUGAAAGAUGGUUUCGGCUAUCACUUACAGAUGGGCCCGCGGUGCAUUAGCUAGUUGGUGAGGUAACGGCUCACCAAGGCAACGAUGCAUAGCCGACCUGAGAGGGUGAUCGGCCACACUGGGACUGAGACACGGCCCAGACUCCUACGGGAGGCAGCAGUAGGGAAUCUUCCGCAAUGGACGAAAGUCUGACGGAGCAACGCCGCGUGAGUGAUGAAGGCUUUCGGGUCGUAAAACUCUGUUGUUAGGGAAGAACAAGUACGAGAGUAACUGCUCGUACCUUGACGGUACCUAACCAGAAAGCCACGGCUAACUACGUGCCAGCAGCCGCGGUAAUACGUAGGUGGCAAGCGUUAUCCGGAAUUAUUGGGCGUAAAGCGCGCGCAGGCGGUUUCUUAAGUCUGAUGUGAAAGCCCACGGCUCAACCGUGGAGGGUCAUUGGAAACUGGGGAACUUGAGUGCAGAAGAGAAAAGCGGAAUUCCACGUGUAGCGGUGAAAUGCGUAGAGAUGUGGAGGAACACCAGUGGCGAAGGCGGCUUUUUGGUCUGUAACUGACGCUGAGGCGCGAAAGCGUGGGGAGCAAACAGGAUUAGAACCCUGGUAGUCCACGCCGUAAACGAUGAGUGCUAAGUGUUAGAGGGUUUCCGCCCUUUAGUGCUGCAGCUAACGCAUUAAGCACUCCGCCUGGGGAGUACGGUCGCAAGACUGAAACUCAAAGGAAUUGACGGGGGCCCGCACAAGCGGUGGAGCAUGUGGUUUAAUUCGAAGCAACGCGAAGAACCUUACCAGGUCUUGACAUCCUCUGACAACUCUAGAGAUAGAGCGUUCCCCUUCGGGGGACAGAGUGACAGGUGGUGCAUGGUUGUCGUCAGCUCGUGUCGUGAGAUGUUGGGUUAAGUCCCGCAACGAGCGCAACCCUUGAUCUUAGUUGCCAGCAUUCAGUUGGGCACUCUAAGGUGACUGCCGGUGACAAACCGGAGGAAGGUGGGGAUGACGUCAAAUCAUCAUGCCCCUUAUGACCUGGGCUACACACGUGCUACAAUGGAUGGUACAAAGGGCUGCAAGACCGCGAGGUCAAG